RNAcentral lists this unclassified non-coding RNA (221 nucleotides) under Hevea brasiliensis (rubber tree). Lineage: Eukaryota; Viridiplantae; Streptophyta; Magnoliopsida; Malpighiales; Euphorbiaceae. The record is from RNAcentral.
AAGGAUAAUCUGUGUCCUCGCAAAAACAGAAAGAAACUGCUGGGAUUCCAGAAUAUGCAAGGAAAGGGAAAGCAGCAUUGUCUAAAGUGAGUUUCUCAACUUUGCUGGCCCAGUUGCUGUCCUGAUAUAGAAAUUGCCCAGUAACCGGAUGCUUCACAUUUUGCAUUGUUUUCUCAAUAAGCGUAUACAACAGUGGGCUGGCAGAAACCUUGAAGUUGCUG